This 229-nucleotide long non-coding RNA is filed under the name Hordeum vulgare. Its description in RNAcentral is "long non-coding RNA (HVUL_LNC014724)". The record is from RNAcentral. Lineage: Eukaryota; Viridiplantae; Streptophyta; Magnoliopsida; Poales; Poaceae.
UGCAUAGAAUACAAAAAGGGUAAAAAAAACACCCCCCCUAAGAAAAAAGAAAAACAUUAUUUCAAAACAGCGGUUUCUCACUUGUGGGCUUAAUGGGAUCAGGAGCCAAAAACAGAAAAAUGUUCAUUAUAUCAUGCUACUUACCGGAUGUCCCUGACUCUGUAUGUCAUUUGCUAUAACUGUGUUCGGUGUAAGCAAAUCACAAAAUCUAUACGUGACCAUGCUCUAC